CGCCUGUUUAUCAAAAACAUGUCUUUUAGAAUUUGUUAAAAGUUGAUUCUGCUCAAUGAUAAUUUAAAUAGCCGCAGUAUUUUAACUGUGCAAAGGUAGCAUAAUAAUUAGUCUUUUAAUUGAGGUCUGGAAUGAAUGAUUUGACGAGGAAUUAACUUUAUUUAAAUUAUUUUUUUUAAUUUUUGUUUUUGGUUAAAAUACCAAAAUUUUUAUAAGGGACGAUAAGACCCUAUAGAUCUUUAAAAAAAAUAUUUAUUUUUCUUUUUUGUUGUAUUUUAAAAUUAAGAUAUUUUUUUUUUUGUUGGGGUGACGUUUAAAAUUUUUGACUUUAAAUUUUUUUUACAUUUUUUUUGUUUAAUUUGAUCUUGAAUUUUUGAUUAUAUGAUUAAGAUACCUUAGGGAUAACAGCAUAAUUUAUUUGGAGAGUUCAAAUCGAUAAUUAAGUUUGUGACCUCGAUGUUGGAUUAAAAUUUAAAUUGUGGGGUAGGUUUUACAAUUUUAGGUCUGUUCGACC
RNAcentral lists this ribosomal RNA (514 nucleotides) under Mimophantia maritima. Its description in RNAcentral is "partial 16S ribosomal RNA". Lineage: Eukaryota; Metazoa; Arthropoda; Insecta; Hemiptera; Flatidae. The record is from RNAcentral.